Molecule: ribosomal RNA, 498 nt
Filed under: uncultured bacterium
Lineage: Bacteria
Description: partial 16S ribosomal RNA
Rfam family: Bacterial small subunit ribosomal RNA
Source: RNAcentral
AUUGAACGCUGGCGGCAUGCUUUACACAUGCAAGUCGAACGGUAACAGGCCGCAAGGUGCUGACGAGUGGCGAACGGGUGAGUAAUGCAUCGGAACGUGCCCAGUCGUGGGGGAUAACGCAGCGAAAGCUGUGCUAAUACCGCAUACGAUAUAUGGAUGAAAGAGGGGGACCGUAAGGCCUCGCGCGAGUGGAGCGGCCGAUGUCAGAUUCGGUAGUUGGUGGGGUAAAGGCUCACCAAGCCAACGAUCUGUAGCUGGUCUGAGAGGACGAACAGCCACAAUGGGACUGAGACACGGCCCAGACUCCUACGGGAGGCAGCAGUGGGGAAUUUGGGACAAUGGGCGCAAGCCUGAUCCAGCAAUGCCGCGUGCAGGAAGGAGGCCUUCGGGUUGUAAACUGCUUUUGUACGGAGCGAAAAGGUUUGGGUUAAUACCCUGGGCCGAUGACGGUACCGUAAGAAUAAGCACCGGCUAACUACGUGCCAGCCGCCGCCGUAA